This 346-nucleotide long non-coding RNA is filed under the name Panax ginseng (ginseng). RNAcentral describes it as "long non-coding RNA (PGIN_LNC013946)". The record is from RNAcentral. Lineage: Eukaryota; Viridiplantae; Streptophyta; Magnoliopsida; Apiales; Araliaceae.
AUGAUUAUACAAUUGUGUAGGGCACGUGAAGUGCAGAUAGCUGUAAGCUGUUAAUCUGUUAUUGGUAAACAACGAUCAAGGCAAGUUUCUUACCCUAUUUUUCAUUAUGAAUUUAUUCAACUCUUAUUCAGUUGAUUGCAGCGAGGGUAAGUUUGGGCUUGUGAUUAAGUAAUCAUUCGUGCAAGCUCCUCUAUUAUAAAGUUCUAUAACUUCAAUUGUGAUGCGAAACGUUAUUGAUGAUUAUUCAGUUCCUAUUGUAACUGCUAUACUUUAAAGUUUGUAUACCCUUAAUGAACUAUAUUCAAGCAUGCUUUCUAGCUUUCGUUUCAGCUAGAUGUUAUUGAUG